Molecule: transfer RNA, 71 nt
Filed under: Favella ehrenbergii
Lineage: Eukaryota; Ciliophora; Spirotrichea; Tintinnida; Xystonellidae
Rfam family: tRNA
About the family: Transfer RNA (tRNA) molecules are approximately 80 nucleotides in length.
Source: RNAcentral
GUUUGGCCGAGUGGUUAAGGCGUGGGACUUGAAAUCCCAUGGGGUAACCCGCGCAGGUUCGAACCCUGCAG